UAUUUCUUCCCCAGCCCGUGCGCAACCCACGUUCCGUCUUUCAUCCUCCACCCAACCACGCCAUGUGCCACCGUCCGGCGACACCGCCCAGCCCACCAGCUCCCCCACACUCCGGCGACCUCCCCCACCCCAACCUCGCUUCCUCACGCUCUUUCUCUCCUCCCUAUUGGCCGUGCGAAACCCAUUCGGGUUGGGGGUUGUUGCGUCACCACCAUUGGCCACCAUCUUCUCACCAUUUCAUUACCGGUUCUCUAGCAACCCAAAGCACCCUUCCGCAGCCCCGAUCCGCCACCUUUGAAGUCCCACCAUCUCCAUUUGUGUUUGAUGAUUUAAUACAUUGAGUUUUUAUUGUUUUACAAUUUUUUUGUAAAUAAAUGUAAUUCUUUUGGUUUUCCUUUCUAUAGGACUAAUGGAGUUUAGGGCAAGAACGACCUUUCUAGCGCUGUGGAGAACCUGAAGGGCUGAGAGGAAAUCUCUAGUUUGUGUUGCUGAUAAUUAUACCUACCGGCAUCAUAUUUUAGAUGUCCUGCCCCUGCGCAAACAGAAUAAGUGAAGUAUUGGAUUUGGAUAGGCACAAUGGUUGGGCCGAAGAGACAUGAUGCUCGGGCCAAAGAGGCACCACACAUGGACGGAACUGGUUAGAUCGAAGAGACAUGAAGAUUGGGUAGAAGAGGUACCACGCAUGGGCUGAACUGGCACGUGUAAAAGACCCACUUGGUUGAGUGCAAUGCUUCAAAAUAAUUUCAACAUGGGUUGAACUGGCACUUGUAAAAGACCCACUUGGAUGAGUGCAAUGCUUCAAAAUAAUUUCAACAAAAAUGUUGAACAAGUGUGGUUUGAACUAGUGACAUCAAACCCACUAGACUAGGCAUGUUCUUUAGUCUCUAAAUUAAACAAUAUGACCUUUAAACUAUAACUAUC
Long non-coding RNA from Carya illinoinensis, 921 nucleotides. RefSeq lists it as uncharacterized. Lineage: Eukaryota; Viridiplantae; Streptophyta; Magnoliopsida; Fagales; Juglandaceae. The transcript is spliced from 3 exons. The record is from RefSeq and is a predicted model, not a curated record.